This 365-nucleotide ribosomal RNA is filed under the name uncultured bacterium. RNAcentral describes it as "bacterial SSU rRNA". It matches the Rfam family "Bacterial small subunit ribosomal RNA", at positions 8 to 353 of the family's 1533-position model. The record is from RNAcentral.
AGAGUUUGAUCAUGGCUCAGGAUGAACGCUGGCGGCGUGCCUAACACAUGCAAGUCGAGCGAAGCGAUCGAGAUGAAGUUUUCGGAUGGAUUCCUGAUUGACUGAGCGGCGGACGGGUGAGUAACGCGUGGGUAACCUGCCUCAUACAGGGGGAUAACAGUUAGAAAUGACUGCUAAAUACCGCAUAAGCGCACAGUACCACAUGGUACGGUGUGAAAAACUCCGGUGGUAUGAGAUGGACCCGCGUCUGAUUAGCUAGUUGGUGGGGUAACGGCCCACCAAGGCGACGAUCAGUAGCCGACCUGAGAGGGUGAUCGGCCCACAUUGGGACUGAGACACGGCCCAAACUCCUACGGGAGGCAGCA